GAUGAACGCUGGCGGCGUGCCUAAUACAUGCAAGUCGAGCGAACGGACGAGAAGCUUGCUUCUCUGAUGUUAGCGGCGGACGGGUGAGUAACACGUGGAUAACCUACCUAUAAGACUGGGAUAACUUCGGGAAACCGGAGCUAAUACCGCAUAAUAUUUUGAACCGCAUGGUUCAAAAGUGAAAGACGGUCUUGCUGUCACUUAUAGAUGGAUCCGCGCUGCAUUAGCUAGUUGGUAAGGUAACGGCUUACCAAGGCAACGAUGCAUAGCCGACCUGAGAGGGUGAUCGGCCACACUGGAACUGAGACACGGUCCAGACUCCUACGGGAGGCAGCAGUAGGGAAUCUUCCGCAAUGGGCGAAAGCCUGACGGAGCAACGCCGCGUGAGUGAUGAAGGUCUUCGGAUCGUAAAACUCUCUUAUUAGGGAAGAACAUAUGUGUAAGUAACUGUGCACAUCUUGACGGUACCUAAUCAGAAAGCCACGGCUAACUACGUG
RNAcentral lists this ribosomal RNA (497 nucleotides) under uncultured bacterium. RNAcentral's name for it is "partial 16S ribosomal RNA". It matches the Rfam family "Bacterial small subunit ribosomal RNA", at positions 28 to 507 of the family's 1533-position model. The record is from RNAcentral.